AUUGAACGCUGGCGGCAGGCCUAACACAUGCAAGUCGAACGGUAACAGGAAGAAGCUUGCUUCUUUGCUGACGAGUGGCGGACGGGUGAGUAAUGUCUGGGAAACUGCCUGAUGGAGGGGGAUAACUACUGGAAACGGUAGCUAAUACCGCAUAACGUCGCAAGACCAAAGAGGGGGACCUUCGGGCCUCUUGCCAUCGGAUGUGCCCAGAUGGGAUUAGCUAGUAGGUGGGGUAACGGCUCACCUAGGCGACGAUCCCUAGCUGGUCUGAGAGGAUGACCAGCCACACUGGAACUGAGACACGGUCCAGACUCCUACGGGAGGCAACAGUGGGGAAUAUUGCACAAUGGGCGCAAGCCUGAUGCAGCCAUGCCGCGUGUAUGAAGAAGGCCCUCGGGUUGUAAAGUACUUUCAGCGGGGAGGAAGGGAGUAAAGUUAAUACCUUUACUCAUUGACGUUACCCGCAGAAGAAGCACCGGCUAACUCCGUG
This 490-nucleotide ribosomal RNA is filed under the name uncultured bacterium. Its description in RNAcentral is "partial 16S ribosomal RNA". It matches the Rfam family "Bacterial small subunit ribosomal RNA", at positions 30 to 507 of the family's 1533-position model. The record is from RNAcentral.